CAAACACGACAAGGCGCGCAUAAAAAUGAGGUUAGCGGUUCCUGGAGUUGUAUUCGAAAAUUAAACUGUGGUAGAUAAACGGAUGAUGUUUUUUCCCCGAGUCACAGGACGGGAAAUUCGGGUUUGUUUACCCGACGGUUUGUAGGAUGAGGCGCUGGUUAGCUCUUACCUGUCGCUGCUUGUGUGUGGAACUGGUGGUGGAACAAGGGGAGGGUUGAAUGUUAGCCAGCACUGCGCCGCCGGUCCAGGGCACGGGCGCUCCAGUCCCCGCAGAGCUGAGAGACUUCCCCCCGCCUCCAUCUCUCUCGCUCUCCUUCCAGUCAGCGCGCAGCUCUCUCGAUCCGCUCAUUUCUCUUUCCAGAGAGACAUCCGCAUUUUCAAUCUCUCCGCUGCUAUAGCCGCUCGCAUCACGAAUGGGUCGCCUGGGUCUUGCUUCCAUUUGGAUUUUAAACUCGGCGCUCUCAAACUUGCAUGCGCAUGUAGCCUCUCGGGCUUGUUUUGAACACAUUUUGUGUAGCCGUGAUGACCAUAUGAAGUUUUAAUAAAUAGUGAAUUUAAUUGAAUAUGUUCCAGAGUGAUUUCUGUUUUGAUGUAUGCUUUUUAAAUAAAGAAAGAAAAGCA
Carassius carassius (crucian carp) is the source of this 621-nucleotide long non-coding RNA. RefSeq lists it as uncharacterized. NCBI's taxonomy places the organism in Eukaryota, Metazoa, Chordata, Actinopteri, Cypriniformes, Cyprinidae. The transcript is spliced from 2 exons. The record is from RefSeq and is a predicted model, not a curated record.